Molecule: long non-coding RNA, 333 nt
Organism: Gasterosteus aculeatus aculeatus (three-spined stickleback)
Lineage: Eukaryota; Metazoa; Chordata; Actinopteri; Perciformes; Gasterosteidae
Source: Ensembl
CAUGUUCCAACAGCUUGAUGUUCACCCCGCGUUACCCUUCUCUUGGAUCCCCACAGAGUGUGUGCCAAACAUGCACACGUUGCUGUUUGCCUGUGGCAGCAGCAUGGCAGCUGACACGAAAUUCUGUCACUGCCACGCAAUCACUGGUUAGAAUAGCUUCUGAACAAACAACAAGCUCAUUACUCUCCGCGGUCUCUGACAGAAUAUGACUUCUAACCAAGCUCCACUGUCGUCGCCAUUGUCCCCGCUUCCAUGGCAACGAGGACUCUUUCUGUCCCCUGUGCCAGGUUUUCUGUCCCCAUCUUCUUGAAACCUACAGACUGAAAGCGGAGC